Molecule: ribosomal RNA, 374 nt
Filed under: Exila nigropalmata
Lineage: Eukaryota; Metazoa; Chordata; Lepidosauria; Squamata; Scincidae
Description: partial 12S ribosomal RNA
Rfam family: Bacterial small subunit ribosomal RNA
Source: RNAcentral
GCUUAGCCCUUAACAUAGACAAUACAAACACAAAAUUGUCCGCCGGAGAACUACAAGUGAAAAACUCGAAACUCCAAGGACUUGGCGGUGCCCCAUACCGACCUAGAGGAGCCUGUCCUGUAAUCGAUAAUCCACGCUGUACCUUACCAUUUCUAGCAAUUCAGCCUAUAUACCGCCGUCGAAAGCCUACCUUAUGAAAGAAACAAAGUAAGCAAAAUAGUCAACAACUAAAACGUCAGGUCAAGGUGUAGCACAUGAAAUGGAAGAGAUGGGCUACAUUUUCUGCUUCAGAAAACACGAACAGCACAAUGAAACCUGUACUCAAAGGAGGAUUUAGCAGUAAGACAAAAAAGAAAUUUUGCCUAAAACCCGCU